This 473-nucleotide unclassified non-coding RNA is filed under the name Melitaea cinxia (Glanville fritillary). Its description in RNAcentral is "misc RNA ENSMCXG00005014658.1". The record is from RNAcentral. Lineage: Eukaryota; Metazoa; Arthropoda; Insecta; Lepidoptera; Nymphalidae.
AAAUAUUGUAAGAAUCUGGCAACUAAAUUAAAUGUCAUUUAAACCAAUGGGAAUCGAUUACAGUGGGGGUAUGUUAAGUGGGGAUAAUUUGUUGGUAAGCUAGAGGAAGGAACGGAGGAUUCAUUCUGGUUGCUGGUUUUGAAGCGAGCACUAGUACUGUCAUUGGUUACUAAAUCAUAUAUUGUAUAUCCAAUACAUAUCAGAAGUGGCAAGCGUCUACUGCUCACAAAGAUUUCACCGAAUACAGCUGUAAUGGCUCAGAAAACGAAACACAAUCUAUAUUAAAACAAGAUACAAUAUUUAUAAAUAAAAGGAAAUAUAUAGCUUGUUUUAAAAAUGAUAAUUAUGAAAACGGAAAUCCAAAGAGGAAUAAAGUUGAAGAAUCGUAUGAGAACGUGACAAAUAAUGAUCAAAAAUGUAUUCUCUGUGUUUUUGAUAGCGAACUGGAUAAAAGAAAUUAUUAUUUUGGAAAU